This 465-nucleotide ribosomal RNA is filed under the name Vreelandella stevensii. RNAcentral describes it as "partial 16S ribosomal RNA". It matches the Rfam family "Bacterial small subunit ribosomal RNA", at positions 338 to 795 of the family's 1533-position model. Lineage: Bacteria; Pseudomonadati; Pseudomonadota; Gammaproteobacteria; Oceanospirillales; Halomonadaceae. The record is from RNAcentral.
CCUACGGGUGGCAGCAGUGGGGAAUAUUGGACAAUGGGCGAAAGCCUGAUCCAGCCAUGCCGCGUGUGUGAAGAAGGCCUUCGGGUUGUAAAGCACUUUCAGUGGGGAAGAAAGCCUUGGGGCUAAUACCCUCGAGGAAGGACAUCACCCACAGAAGAAGCACCGGCUAACUCCGUGCCAGCAGCCGCGGUAAUACGGAGGGUGCGAGCGUUAAUCGGAAUUACUGGGCGUAAAGCGCGCGUAGGCGGUCUGAUAAGCCGGUUGUGAAAGCCCCGGGCUCAACCUGGGAACGGCAUCCGGAACUGUCAGGCUGGAGUGCAGGAGAGGAAGGUAGAAUUCCCGGUGGAGGAGUGAAAUGCGUAGAGAACGGGAGGAAUACCAGUGGCGAAGGCGGCCUUCUGGACUGACACUGACGCUGAGGUGCGAAAGCGUGGGUAGCAAACAGGAUUAGAUACCCCAGUAGUC